ACGCUCGACACCUACGGGAGGUAGCAGUGGGGAAUAUUGCACAAUGGGGGAAACCCUGAUGCAGCAACGCCGCGUGAAGGAAGACGGUUUUCGGAUUGUAAACUUCUGUUCUUAGUGAAGAUAGUGACGGUAGCUAAGGAGCAAGCCACGGCUAACUACGUGCCAGCAGCCGCGGUAAUCUGAGCGGGCUGGCAAGGC
This 198-nucleotide ribosomal RNA is filed under the name uncultured bacterium. RNAcentral describes it as "partial 16S ribosomal RNA". It matches the Rfam family "Bacterial small subunit ribosomal RNA", at positions 328 to 539 of the family's 1533-position model. The record is from RNAcentral.